This 359-nucleotide ribosomal RNA is filed under the name Mucuna pruriens var. utilis. Its description in RNAcentral is "eukaryotic LSU rRNA". The record is from RNAcentral. Lineage: Eukaryota; Viridiplantae; Streptophyta; Magnoliopsida; Fabales; Fabaceae.
GAGGAUGCAGAUCCGUGAACAUCGAGUCUUUGACGCAAUUGCGCCCCGAAGCCAUUAGGCCGAGGGCCGCCUGCCUGGGUGUCACACAUCGUUACCCCAAAUGCAAACGCCUCACGUGCGUGCGCAGCGGUGGAUGCUGACCUCCCGCGAGCAUCGUCUUGUGGCUGGUUCUAAAUCGAUGCAGCGGCCGACCUCGUCGCGACAAAAUGGUGGAUGAGCGAGCUCGAGACAGUCGCCCCGACCCGGCCAGGUCGGACUCCCCGACCCUACCCGUUCACCGACCGCCCCAACGGGACCUCAGGGCCGGGGGGGCUACCCCGUGGGGUUUAGCCUUUAAUAAGCGGGGGAAAAAAGGAAAA